UGAGGAAUAUUGGUCAAUGGACGAGAGUCUGAACCAGCCAAGUCGCGUGAAGGAUGACGGUCCUAUGGAUUGUAAACUUCUUUUGUGCAGGAAUAAAGUGUCCCGUGCGCGGGAUUUUGUAUGUACUGUACGAAUAAGCAUCGGCUAACUCCGUGCCAGCAGCCGCGGUAAUACGGAGGAUGCGAGCGUUAUCCGGAUUUAUUGGGUUUAAAGGGUGCGUAGGCGGGAUUUUAAGUCAGUGGUGAAAGUUUGCAGCUUAACUGUAAAAUUGCCAUUGAAACUGAAGUUCUUGAGUGCAAAUGAGGUAAGCGGAAUGUGUUGUGUAGCGGUGAAAUGCAUAGAUAUAACACAGAACCCCGAUUGCGAAGGCAGCUUACUGGGAUGCAACUGACGCUGAUGCACGAAAGCGUGGGUAUCAAACA
Molecule: ribosomal RNA, 422 nt
Filed under: uncultured prokaryote
Description: bacterial SSU rRNA
Rfam family: Bacterial small subunit ribosomal RNA
Source: RNAcentral